RNAcentral lists this ribosomal RNA (216 nucleotides) under uncultured bacterium. RNAcentral describes it as "partial 16S ribosomal RNA". It matches the Rfam family "Bacterial small subunit ribosomal RNA", at positions 524 to 736 of the family's 1533-position model. The record is from RNAcentral.
UACAGAGGGUGCGAGCGUUGUCCGGAAUCACUGGGCGUAAAGGGCGCGUAGGUGGCGCCGCAAGUCCAUGGUGAAAGCUCGAUGCUCAACAUCGAGUCGGCCACGGAGACUGCGGGGCUCGAGCGACUGUAGGGGCAGAUGGGAAUUCCGGGUGUAGCGGUGGGAAUGCGUAGAGAUCCGGAAGAACACCGGUGGCGAAGGCGGCAUCCUGGACCG